UGGGGAAUAUUGCACAAUGGGCGCAAGCCUGAUCCAGCCAUGCCGCGUGUGUGAAGAAGGCCUUCGGGUUGUAAAGCACUUUCAGCGGGGAUGAAGGCGGUGAGGUUAAUAACCUCAUCGAUUGACGUUACCCGCAGAAGAACCACCGGCUAACUCCGUGCCAGCAGCCGCGGUAAUACGGAGGGUGCAAGCGUUAAUCGGAAUUACUGGGCGUAAAGCGCACGCAGGCGGUCUGUCAAGUCGGAUGUGAAAUCCCCGGGCUCAACCUGGGAACUGCAUUCGAAACUGGCAGGCUAGAGUCUUGUAGAGGGGGGUAGAAUUCCAGGUGUAGCGGUGAAAUGCGUAGAGAUCUGGAAGAAUACCGGUGGCGAAGGCGGCCCCCUGGACAAAGACUGACGCUCAGGUGCGAAAGCGUGGGGAGCAAACAGG
RNAcentral lists this ribosomal RNA (429 nucleotides) under Chloroflexota bacterium. RNAcentral describes it as "Chloroflexi bacterium partial 16S ribosomal RNA". It matches the Rfam family "Bacterial small subunit ribosomal RNA", at positions 355 to 776 of the family's 1533-position model. The record is from RNAcentral. Lineage: Bacteria; Bacillati; Chloroflexota.